This is a non-coding RNA of Musca domestica (house fly), 140 nucleotides long. The record is from Rfam. NCBI's taxonomy places the organism in Eukaryota, Metazoa, Arthropoda, Insecta, Diptera, Muscidae.
AAAUUGUCCUCUCUAAUACUAUAUUAUAUCCCUAUUUGAUAUAUAUAGUCUCGCUUGUGGACUAUAUAAAUGGUUUAAUUAUCCUAGCUUUUGAAGUAGCGAUGCAUUUCAUUAAGCUCGAGAAACGUUAAGCAACAUUU